Molecule: non-coding RNA, 93 nt
Filed under: Geminigera cryophila
Lineage: Eukaryota; Cryptophyceae; Pyrenomonadales; Geminigeraceae
Source: RNAcentral
CAGGAAGCUCCGCACUCGCUUGUGCAGGUGGAUAUCACUGAUGUUGAGCAUCAAGACUGGUGGAAUCGGUACAAAUACGACAUCCCAGUACUG